CGCGAAUUAGGCACUAUGGGG
Molecule: non-coding RNA, 21 nt
Filed under: Caenorhabditis elegans
Lineage: Eukaryota; Metazoa; Nematoda; Chromadorea; Rhabditida; Rhabditidae
Source: RNAcentral